CAGGAACCGAAGAAAUGAAGGACUGGAAAACAUGCACUUCACUAUGACAAGUUCAAUUUACAGCCAACUCAGCAAUGUAACAAAUCUAUGUCAUACUUAAUGAGAAUCUAUGUAACCGGUGACGGAUCAGCUUAAGAUUGCUAUGUGCUACCAGCACAGGGAAACCUGAGCUUGACUCAGGUCCUCCUCAUGAAAAACACUAGGAUGAACUGAAGCAUUAUAAUUAAGAUCAGACUUUUGUCAAAGCUGCUCCAAUCUGUCAAGGAUUAUGUGAAUUUUGUGCGUGCGUGCAUGUAUGUUUUAACUUGCCUGAUUUUUGACACUUUGAGGAUCUUUGAGCGUGGCAGCAAUCAGGAAGCAGGACCCUGGGCUGCAGCAGGACCAAGAUGCAACCUUGGAACAAACGCAAUCUUUGCUGAGCGUGCUCUUCCCGGGUUGGAAGCUAUGGGCUUGGCCGUGCCUGAGAACCUGAGCAGACCCCAGACGAGCAUGCUAAAGGGCUCCUCACGAUCCUCAGUUUGCUGUCUGCAGAAGGGCUCGCCCCGGGCUGUGUUGGGGUACUUAAUUCACUUUUCGUCUUGUGCGUGAAAACGGCUCCAAGAGAUUCUCCUCCUGCGGCAAGAGAUCUGGAAAGGUCUGAAAGUUUUCAGAGACUCAGCAGUGAAGGUCAUAAGAGGGACUGGAGUUUUGGCCCAUGCAUCUGCUCACUGAAACUCGGUCAUCUCAUAUCGAGGACAACAAACCAGCACCAGUCUGCAAGAGCACGGCAACGCAGAACCCAGAAAGAUCGUUUUUUAUUAUAUGAGCAGAAGCUUUUGGCUGCUCGGGAGUUCUCCUCUCUGUUGCAUGUGAAACUGCUGCAAAGGGAAUUAAUCACUGAGACAGCGUGA
Molecule: long non-coding RNA, 890 nt
Filed under: Struthio camelus australis
Lineage: Eukaryota; Metazoa; Chordata; Aves; Struthioniformes; Struthionidae
Description: lncRNA (ENSSCUG00000015397.1)
Source: RNAcentral